GCCUCUGGAGAAUCCCAACCAUGGGUGCCGAAGGGGCAAGGUGAAACGCAGGCCGCAAGACCUAACCGCAAACAGCUUCAACAAGCUGCAGUGGCGAACCGUUUCACUGAAACUCUCAGGCAAAAGGACAGAGAAA
RNAcentral lists this non-coding RNA (136 nucleotides) under uncultured Senegalimassilia sp. RNAcentral's name for it is "Glycine riboswitch". It matches the Rfam family "Glycine riboswitch aptamer", at positions 9 to 86 of the family's 94-position model. From Rfam's summary of the family: This family represents the bacterial glycine riboswitch. The record is from RNAcentral. Lineage: Bacteria; Bacillati; Actinomycetota; Coriobacteriia; Coriobacteriales; Coriobacteriaceae.